AUAGACACUUUCUCUAUGACUAGGUUAAUGUUUAUCUACAACAAUAUAAUAGAAAAUAAAAGAGCACGUGUUAUGAAUUAAUGCCUUCCACCAUUGGCGGCUGGUCGACGACCACUGAUCUGCAUCUUUAAGGCCACAACCUUCCACAUUUUUCUUUCCUCCACAUGCUAUCGCAACCCCCUGAAAGUCCAACCAUCACUGUCACAAUUUCAAAUGGUGGUUACCAGACUUGAAAUAGUGGUGCGUCACGAAAACCUUUCCGGUAGCCGGACAUAAAAGAGUGGUGCUCGUGGAAUGGUUUUGCCUUUCAUUCUCCAUCCGACAUGAAAGAGUGGUGCGUCGGAAAAACCCUUAAGAUCUCCUUCCGACAAACCAAAUCUCCAACCGACAAAUCAAAUCCACUCUAAAGAACAAGGUCUCCUUCCAUCUGAAGGUGUUUCCCCAGUGAUCCGUGUGUUUUAGGCCAUUUGUAUGUUUUUUCAUGUACUUUUUCGACAAUCUUUAUAUCAUUUAGUUUAUGUUCUAGUUUGAAUAUAUAGUUUUUGCUUUGUAAUUUGGUUAUUGGAUCUAUAGUUUUGAGAUUGUAUCUAGUUUGGAUAUGAUUUUUGUUUUGUUUAUAGAUUUCUUAUUUUAGGUAGCUAUGACUGGAGGUUAUUUGUGGCGGUGGUCAAAUGUGGUUUUGCGGUGACCGGACACAAGGAACGGUGAUGAUCUCAUUUUAAUGUAUUUUAUUAUUUAAAUAAAUAAAUAACAAAUUAAUUAAAAAAUAAGUAGAUAAGAGUAACAUAGUUUUAUUUAUUUAUUUAUGUCUAGGACCAAAUACUCAACAAAAACACAUAUGAGAAUUUUCUAAAUUACAAAAUAAAAAAAAUAACUAUAGACAAAACAUACAAAUUACCUCAUAUUAUAAGGACCAUUAUUGUAAUUUACUAUUGGUGUUAUAGCGACGGGAAUGGUUUUUAUUUUAAUGCUAAAUCUUUGUUUGCAUGAAGUAUUAUACCUUUUCAAUUUAUAUAAUAAAUUGGUUUCUAUAAAACGUCACGAGUUAAAUAUUGACUAAGUAGACCAAUGUUAAAUGUUUUUAUUAAUUUAUGCAACAAAUAUGUUUUUUUGUCAAAAAAACAGACGAUCAUGUUUUAUAAAGUAAAAAAAGAAAAAAAUAAAAAAAGAGAGAAAAAACAAAAUCUACUAAUCCAAGUCUUUUUCAACAUUAGGCAACAUUAAGGUUUUCGACUUAUGAAAUACAUAAAAAAGAAGUCGUUUUGAAAAAAGAAAAUAAAAAAUAAAAAAUAAUUGACCAUAAAGGUUCAUAUCAUAUAUUUGGGUAACCACCGAAAUUUUACUUGUCCAAAAACCACUACCAUUCCCAUGAAAACAUGUUCGUAAACUAGCGAAUAAAUUAGAGCUUGAUAUUUACUCGCUAACAUAAUUUAUUCUGGAUGCUACUGUUAAGACACCUUUCGGAGAUUCCAUAAACAUCUUUAUCAAAAGUCAACCUAUAGUUAAUCACUUAUAAUCAUUUUUUUUUUCAGAAAGCAAUGCAAUUUCAACCUAUAAAAAUACCUUAAAAACUAUAUAGGGUGUCUAAAUGAUAAAAUAUGGUGUCUUUUAUAGCCAACCCCUUUAUUCUUCGUAGGUCUACUUUUCCAUCAAAUUGCUUACCUAGCUUACCUAGAUAGGUCGCGAAAGAUGUUGCUAAUAAUUUGUUAUAUGCAAAUCAUCUAGUAUAUAUAGUAGGUGUUUAGGACGAGGAAGAAAAAACUACUACAACACAAUAUGUUUUGUCAAAACUUCCAUAAAUCGAUGUCUACUAAUAAAGACAUCGGAGAUGGAGAUGAAAAUGGUGAUUUAACAUAUGCAAAGUUCUAAAAAGCUUGACAUGGCUCUGUCAUGACGCGUCAUAGCUCCAAGGCUUGUAUUUACCGCCAAGUUUUACCAAAACGCCGCAUUAACUUAUAUAUGUGUAUAAAAAUGAAUAAUAGUUGAAAAUACAUAUAAAAUUAUUAAUUAUAUACAAAAUUGUCAUCUUAUGCCACGCCUUACAAAUGACGUGACUUGCCAAGGCUCAGAAAAGCUUGAGGUUUGACAUUGCUGCCAAGUCACGUCUUACAUUAUUUAGAACCUUGAACAUAUGUCAUGGAUUAUAUCCAAGUGAAUUGAUAAAUAAUCUUUGAUUUUGUAUUGUUUCGAUGUAGAUAAGGAAAGCAAACUACUUAAAAGACCAUAUGUUGUGGCCAAGCUAUGGUUAUUUUAGCCAGUUAUAAUAUUGUUGUUUGAGAAGAAUAACAAGCAGAUUACGGGGAUUAAUGUAUAUGUGAAUUAACAUGAUUAAUAUACAUGUGAAUUAACAUGUCUAGAUGGUUCGCAUGAAGUUUGUAUAAGAUCUUUAAUGACUAUGC
This 2399-nucleotide long non-coding RNA is filed under the name Lactuca sativa (garden lettuce). RNAcentral describes it as "long non-coding RNA (LSAT_LNC006854)". The record is from RNAcentral. Lineage: Eukaryota; Viridiplantae; Streptophyta; Magnoliopsida; Asterales; Asteraceae.